AACACAUGCAAGUCGAACGAGAUCUUCGGAUCUAGUGGCGCACGGGUGCGUAACGCGUGGGAAUCUGCCCUUGGGUUCGGAAUAACAGUUAGAAAUGACUGCUAAUACCGGAUGAAGUCUACAGACCAAAGAUUUAUCGCCCACGGACGCGACCGCGAUCCGAUAACCUCAUCCGCACGUGCCAGGCACUCUAAGCAGACUACCCUUAACUAACC
Molecule: ribosomal RNA, 215 nt
Filed under: uncultured bacterium
Lineage: Bacteria
Description: partial 16S ribosomal RNA
Rfam family: Bacterial small subunit ribosomal RNA
Source: RNAcentral